GGGGUAACGUGUCACCGGCUGAUACGGCUGUCAAGGCCUCGGAUUUAUCCUAUCGUCGUCCCUUGCUGCAUCAACCGUUGGGUGAUACGAUGGAAGAAAUGAUGUUGCCUUUUGGCCGCUUCUCCCGGGGAGCGUUUGAUGCUUACCCCCCGAAAGAAGUAAAAAUUGAGAGAAGUCCGCUGGAUUCCACCCGUUUCCGUAAGGAUUCCAGAAGGUUUUUGUUUCCUGAAGCCUUUUCCAAUUUUGCAUUCGG
This 253-nucleotide long non-coding RNA is filed under the name Elaeis guineensis (African oil palm). RNAcentral's name for it is "long non-coding RNA (EGUI_LNC016602)". Lineage: Eukaryota; Viridiplantae; Streptophyta; Magnoliopsida; Arecales; Arecaceae. The record is from RNAcentral.